Molecule: ribosomal RNA, 254 nt
Filed under: uncultured bacterium
Lineage: Bacteria
Description: partial 16S ribosomal RNA
Rfam family: Bacterial small subunit ribosomal RNA
Source: RNAcentral
GUCCACGCCGUAAACGAUGGAUACUAGCUGUUCGGAGCAAUCUGAGUGGCUAAGCGAAAGUGAUAAGUAUCCCACCUGGGGAGUACGCACGCAAGUGUGAAACUCAAAGGAAUUGACGGGGGCCCGCACAAGCGGUGGAGCAUGUGGUUUAAUUCGAUGAUACGCGAGGAACCUUACCAGGGCUUAAAUGUAAAUUGACAGGACUGGAAACAGUUUUUUCUCGGACAAUUUACAAGGUGCUGCAUGGUUGUCGU